RNAcentral lists this ribosomal RNA (429 nucleotides) under uncultured archaeon. Its description in RNAcentral is "bacterial SSU rRNA". It matches the Rfam family "Archaeal small subunit ribosomal RNA", at positions 474 to 903 of the family's 1478-position model. The record is from RNAcentral.
UACCAGCCCCCUGAGUGGUAAGGAUGAUUAUUUGGCCUAAAGCGUUCGUAGCCGGCUUGACAAGUCUUUUGUUAAAUCCAACGAUUCAAUCGUUGGGCCGCAAAAGAUACUGUUAUGCUAGAGGACGGGAGAGGUCGACGGUAGUCCAGGGGUAGGGGUGAAAUCCUAUAAUCCUUGGAGGACCACCAGUGGCGAAGGCGGUCGACUAGAACGUGCCUGACGGUGAGGGACGAAAGCUGGGGGAGCGAACCGGAUUAGAUACCCGGGUAGUCCCAGCUGUAAACGAUGCGGGCUAGGUGUUGGGGUAGCCACGAGCUGCCCCAGUGCCGCAGAGAAGUUGUUAAGCCCGCCGCCUGGGGAGUACGGCCGCAAGGCUGAAACUUAAAGGAAUUGGCGGGGGAGCACCACAAGGGGUGAAGGCUGCGGUUU